UCUUGCCGCCGCCGGCUGCUCUCCUCUCCCCGCGCCUCGUCUGCCUCCUCUGCUCCCUCUCCCUUGUCUCCUCUCCCGCACCACCAGCCCCUUAUCUCUGCUCGCCCCAGCCGUCUCUCUCCUCCCCCGCACCGUCAGCCCCGGAUCUGGAGGAAGAGGAGGGAGGCGGGGUCUGGAGGAGGAAGAGGAGAUCCGGGCGCCCCGGCGGUGGCUCGACCGAUGCGAGGUCCGAUGAGUGCCUCUCCGACUCCUCCCUCCAUCCUCGCCACCAACCACCGUCCUCUUCUCCGCCGUGGCCUGCCGAGGCUGGCAAGGAGGAGACCGCCGCCCGUGCUCUCGAGCUCAAAGGGGGAGUUGGAUCCCAAGGGCAGAGUUGCAGUCUAGAGCUGCAGGGAACCCGUGUGAUUUGUUCUCUGUUGAUUUCCCUUCUUGUCUGUUCCUUUCCGACUUGUUGUUCUUGCCUUGCUUCCCAACCACAGGUGCUCCCCACGGUGAGGAGCGGACGCGCUCGACGCCUUUCUUCCCAACCAGGUGCUCCUCUAUCUCUCCCUAUGUGUUGUGUGAUGAAUGUGUGGUAGUGGGAGUGGGAUAGGGAGAGGUAAAGAGAGCAGAUUCCAAAUGCAAUGGAAGGGAACUUUCAAUCCAAGUUUAAUUUUCAUUGGGCAUUCAAAUUCUUAAUUUGAUCUUCUCAAAUUUUUGCCUAGGUGUAUAAACAUACAUGCACAUG
Long non-coding RNA from Triticum aestivum (bread wheat), 727 nucleotides. RefSeq lists it as uncharacterized. The transcript has 3 exons. NCBI's taxonomy places the organism in Eukaryota, Viridiplantae, Streptophyta, Magnoliopsida, Poales, Poaceae. The record is from RefSeq and is a predicted model, not a curated record.